GGAAAUUAGAGCUGGAUAAGACCUACGUGAGAGAAGAACCCAUCAGAAGAAAUGAGCAAAUUUGCUUUUUUUCGCCUUUCUCCCAUAAGCCAGUCAUCCUUUAUGGUGGUCCAGUUCUAGUAAAAUCCAUGGGAGUAAAUGAUAUUGCCAAGUUGACAGGUGUAAGAGAAUAUGACGAGAGAAGAGAAUGGGACCUAAGACAGAACCUUGGAAGACACCCACCUUAAGGAUUUCAUCAUUCUCCCUGAAGAGCGGAGAGGAAUUCCUUUGGCCCCUACAUCUUCUCUCCAAGGGAGAGAAAACAUU
Non-coding RNA from Phascolarctos cinereus (koala), 306 nucleotides. Lineage: Eukaryota; Metazoa; Chordata; Mammalia; Diprotodontia; Phascolarctidae. The record is from RefSeq and is a predicted model, not a curated record.